RNAcentral lists this small RNA (432 nucleotides) under Pan troglodytes (chimpanzee). RNAcentral's name for it is "retained intron". Lineage: Eukaryota; Metazoa; Chordata; Mammalia; Primates; Hominidae. The record is from RNAcentral.
UCAACCUCCUGCUCCUGUGAUCAGUGGGGGUGUGGGGGGACAGUAUAGCAGAAGGCCUUGGCUCAGGUGGUUUUGACAGUGAACUGAACCAGUGAAACCAGAGGGAACUUGCCAUCGUGAUUCCCAUGGGAGUCCCAGACAGGUAACAGCUGAGUCUCCUACUUCUACAGUUCAACAUCACUGGUGCCUGCUUGAAUGACUCAGAUGACGACUCACCAGACUUGGACCUUGAUGGAGAUGAGAGCCCAUUGGCCCUAUUGAUGUCUAACGGCAGUACGAAAAGGGUGAAGAGUUUAUCCAAAUCUCGGCGAACCAAGAUAGCAAAGAAGGUAGACAAGGCUAGGCUGAUGGCAGAACAGGUGAUGGAAGACGAAUUUGACUUGGAUUCAGAUGAUGAGCUGCAGAUUGACGAGAGAUUGGGAAAGGAGAAGG